CCUACGGGUGGCAGCAGUGGGGAAUAUUGGACAAUGGGGGGAACCCUGAUCCAGCGACGCCGCGUGAGUGAAGAAGUAUUUCGGUAUGUAAAGCUCUAUCAGCAGGGAAGAAAGAAAUGACGGUACCUGACUAAGAAGCCCCGGCUAACUACGUGCCAGCAGCCGCGGUAAUACGUAGGGGGCAAGCGUUAUCCGGAUUUACUGGGUGUAAAGGGAGCGUAGACGGCGAUGCAAGUCUGAAGUGAAAGGCGGGGGCCCAACCCCCGGACUGCUUUGGAAACUGUAUGGCUGGAGUGCAGGAGAGGUAAGUGGAAUUCCUAGUGUAGCGGUGAAAUGCAUAGAUAUCGCGCAGAACUCCGAUUGCGAAGGCAGCAUGCCGGCUCCACACUGACGCUGAGGCACGAAAGCGUGGGUAUCGAACAGGAUUAGAUACCCCUGUAGUC
RNAcentral lists this ribosomal RNA (443 nucleotides) under uncultured bacterium. RNAcentral describes it as "partial 16S ribosomal RNA". It matches the Rfam family "Bacterial small subunit ribosomal RNA", at positions 338 to 795 of the family's 1533-position model. The record is from RNAcentral.